Molecule: long non-coding RNA, 1254 nt
Organism: Astatotilapia calliptera (eastern happy)
Lineage: Eukaryota; Metazoa; Chordata; Actinopteri; Cichliformes; Cichlidae
Source: Ensembl
CCAACACACGCUUUCCUCAGCAGCACACACAUGCAAUAUCUGACAUCUGUGUUGCCUCUAUUAUUCCUGCACAAGUUCCUCACACAACAAUGGCCUGACAGAAAGCUAAACCCUGCAGCACCCAGAAAAAGGAAAGGCAAAUUAACCAGCUUCACUCUAACACUGAGGGACCAUUAAAGUCGAAACGCCUGAUCUCCCUGGCUGGUUUUUCCUCUGCGUCCUCUCCCUCGUUCCUCUCUCGUUUUCUCACUCUCCAGCAGGAAAGGUUAACUGUGAGAGGCUCUCAGAGACACUCCAGCAGACACACAAGUGAUCUUUCCUUUAAUUGGCUUUUCCACUCCCCUUCUCCUCCUCUCUUCUGCCUAGCAGGUCAGCACCGUCCACUGCCGGGCCUGACAGAGGAAACACGAGCACACACACGCUCAGCACCACAAUAAGGCAGCUGGGCUUAACUGAGGAUUUGAUGCACAGGGUGGGGUGUGUGCGUGUGUCUGUGCACCUUUAAAUAUCUCCAUCCGACCAGUCAAUCUGUCGUUAGUAAUACAGAAUAGCAGUACUGUGUAAUUGAGCUAUCUGGCUCUUGGGCCUCCAUGAUGUCCUCAUCCAUGAAGCAGCUGACACUGUGGCUCUGCUCCUCACUGUCACAGGGAGAGGGCAUACAGGAAAUUUAUAAGGAGAGCACUGACAGACGUGAGGCUAUUACCAGCCAUUGUGCAGUCUAGGUUUUUUUUUUUUAUCAGCAGUGAAUCGUACAACCUUAUUCUUCCUCCCCAAGGAGAAUUUCACAAAAUAAAAUGUUUUUGAGUAGGAGCAUGCACCUUGCAAAUGCGGCUUUCAGGCAGCCUUUAGACUCUGUCAGAAGGAUGAAACAGAUGCAUAUAUUCUGGCUGAAAAGCUGCUAUUAUUACACAGUUGGAAAAGAGGCCAAGCUGAGCUCCUGCAAUUGAAAACAUCAUUGAGAAAAGUUAUCCAAUUCUAUAACUUUUUUUCACAUCUGGAAGAAAAAUGCUUAAUUGUGUUCUUCUUAACUGAAUCUGGCAGGCAGCAGAUCUAGAUAGGAGAAAGAGAAUCACAGUGUGAAAUGAGCUAUACGCUAGACUGACUUACCCACGGUAGCCUAGAAUCGGAGCAAGACGACUAGACAAGGCAGUUCACUCAAUUGCACCCUGGACUCGGUUAUGCCUGCUAUUCUGCUUCAUCUCGCUCUGUGCGCCAGGCCUCGACACAGCCAUUAUCCACAGGGUGCAGUGUGUG